RNAcentral lists this ribosomal RNA (492 nucleotides) under uncultured bacterium. RNAcentral's name for it is "partial 16S ribosomal RNA". It matches the Rfam family "Bacterial small subunit ribosomal RNA", at positions 29 to 507 of the family's 1533-position model. The record is from RNAcentral.
AGUGAACGCUGGCGGUAGGCCUAACACAUGCAAGUCGAACGGCAGCACAGUAAGAGCUUGCUCUUACGGGUGGCGAGUGGCGGACGGGUGAGGAAUACAUCGGCAUCUACCUUUUCGGGGGGGAUAACGUAGGGAAACUUACGCUAAUACCGCAUAUGACCUACGGGGGAAAGCAGGGGAUAUUCGGACCUUGCGCGAUUGAAUGAGCCGAUGUCGGAUUAGCUAGUUGGCGGGGUAAAGGCCCACCAAGGCGACGAUCCGUAGCUGGUCUGAGAGGAUGAUCAGCCACACUGGAACUGAGACACGGUCCAGACUCCUACGGGAGGCAGCAGUGGGGAAUAUUGGACAAUGGGCGCAAGCCUGAUCCAGCCAUGCCGCGUGGGUGAAGAAGGCCUUCGGGUUGUAAAGCCCUUUUGUUGGGGAAGAAAAGCAGCAGGUUAAUACCCCGCUGUUCUGACGGUACCCAAAGAAUAAGCACCGGCUAACUUCGUG